This is a long non-coding RNA of Brassica napus (rape), 2860 nucleotides long. RefSeq lists it as uncharacterized. NCBI's taxonomy places the organism in Eukaryota, Viridiplantae, Streptophyta, Magnoliopsida, Brassicales, Brassicaceae. The record is from RefSeq and is a predicted model, not a curated record. The transcript is spliced from 2 exons.
ACCUCCAGUUUCGGAAAUGAUACCAGCGGGAAAGAGCGACCCCUAAGACAAACCUAGUAAUCUUGACAAAAAAGAAAGGUUUAACUGAAUUAGGUUGUCAAUUUAAGAAUCAUUUAAAAAGUUGUAAUCUAUAUUUUGUACUAAUUACAAAAGACACUUGAUGACGUGUCACUUAAUUAUGAUGUCAAUUUGGCAGCAUAAGAAUCAAUUGAAUAAUUUGUAGGUCUAAAAUCUAAUUGCUAAAGAACAUUAUAUUAACCAAAAAUAUAAGAAGCGUAUAUUCUUUCUUUAAACAAAAGCUACGGUGUUACCUAAUAUAAUUAACAUAUAUAUAACAACUAAUGAUAUGAAUAAUAAAAAUUUGAUAACAAUUUUUGUACUCUUUUUUUCUUUAAUUUUAUAUUAUUAAAAGAAAUUAAACAAUCACAUUAACCAUAUAAUAAAAAAAUUUAGAAAUUUUCUUAUAUGUUAUAUCUUGAAUUUUUAAAACGACUUUAAAUUAAAAAACAUAUUAAAAAUCCCGUUGAAAAUUUGUGAUCAAUGGCUUAAUUUUAUGUUAUGUGUUUUAACUUUUAACAAAGAAAUACCGCAUAUCGUAGCUUUAGUCACUGAAUAACCCAAAAAAACUUUGGUCUUGUGCCAAAAAGGCAUUGGUCGUUUCUUAAUAAAGUAAUUAACUCUCGCUAUGUUGUGGGCAUGUUUAUUAUGUUAAUCUCUCUCUAAACACUACAAAAAGUCUACAUUGAUAGCACAUUAUUAUAGCACGUUUUACUGAACUGCUAUCGUAGAUGAUUUAGAAAUUUCUGUAUUAUAUAAUAGCAUUAGAUAAACGCUAUGAUAGAGAAAAACAUAAAAUAUCACUUAAUUAAUGCUAUUUUAAGAAUUACGUGAGCGGAAAAAAUAAAAUCACCGGUUUCACCAAUACUUAGCGGGAAUUUAGAUUUAAGCGCCAAAAAUAUUAUUUAAGCGGCUUAAUAAAACUACGAAAGACUUAUAAUAGCAUUUUUAUAAUGCUAAGAAAAGCUAUUUGAACCCCUAAACCUUAAACAUGGUUUUAAACCCUAAACACUAAACACAAUCCUUAAAACUCUAAUCUUUUUAUAUUAUAACUUCAAUUCUUAAAAUUAAACUUAAAAUUUAAUCUUCUUGAUCUUAAACUAUAAUUUCCUAACCACAUAUCCUUAAUCUUUAAUCAAUCUAUAUAUCCUAAAUCAUAACUUCAAACAUAAAUUAUACAUUCUCUGUAAACAUACAAACUUUUUAAAUGAUGACCAAAAUAAUAAUCUUGAUAUUAAUCUAAUAUUUCCAAACUUAAAUAUUAAUUAUUAAAAUAAAUAUCAAUUUAUUAUGUUCAAAAAUAACUUUAAACUUAAAUUCCAAAGUACAAAAUAUAAAUUUUGAAAUAAGAUAUAAGUAAGAAAAAUUAUUUACAAAACAAAUCAUCAAAGAUUGAAGGACAAAAAAAAGACAAUUUAUAAAGAGUAUUUUUUUGCUACCAUUUAGCAACGAAACUUUUUGUAGGUCUUUAUAAAAUAGCCACGAAAUGCCACGGUUUAUUUGUACAUGCUUAAAACUCUAAACCCUAAAAUUCUUUUAAAUCCUAAAUCCUAAAUAUAAACCUUAAAACUCUAUUCUUUUUCAUAAUUUAACCUAAAUCUUAAAUUUAAAUUAAUAAUUUAAUUUCAAAUCAUAAUUUAAACCCCAAAUACUAUAUUCCAACCCCUAAACUAUAAACAUAAACACUAUACCCCAAAUCAUAAAUCUAAACAUAAAAUCUUAUAUUUUAAAAUUUAAAAUAUUAAACUUUACUUUUAGAUCUUAUCUUCAACCCAAAUCCCCUUACUCAAAACUUUAGAUUCCAUAUACACUAAACUUUACUAUACAUACAAUACUCUAAAUAUAAACUUCAAAACUUAAAUUUUGAAAAUUUAACUACAAAUCUUAGACCUAAUAUUCAAAUCUAAUAUUGUCAUACUCUGAUCCAAAAUAUUAAAUAAUAGUCUUGAUAUUAAUCAAAUAUUUUCAAACUUAAACAUCAAUUCUUAAAAUAAAUAUAAACUUAUUAUGUUCAAAAAAGAAAACUCUAAACUUAAAUUAUAAACUCGAAAAUACAAAAUUUUAUAUAAGAUAUAACUAAGAAAAAUUACUUAGAAAACAAAUUAUCAAUUAUUUAAGGACAAAACAAAAAUAAAAAUAGAAAAAGAAAGACAAAAUUUCUGGCCAAUCAGAUUCAAAUACAUAAAUCACACUCUUAACCAUUGGAUUAACUUAGAUCUAAAGGUAGAGAUUUAUUCAAUUUAAUUUUUAUUUUUUUCUUCUCUCUCUCCCUUUCUCACGACAUAUCUCAUCUCAUCUCCUUCUCUGCUUUUUUUUUUCCGAUUCUCUCUUCUUCACUCUAAGUUCUCAUUCUCAUAUCUCUCUUCUCUCUCAUCUCUCUCAACGCCUCUCUCAUCUCUCCCAUCUCUCUCAACGCCUCUCUCGUCUCACCACCACCGCGUCUCCUCCUCGUCUCACCACCACCGUUUUCCCCCUUGUCUCACCACCACCACGGUCGACAUAGGUGGAGGAGCCAAGGUUCAUGGCGGCUGGAGGAGCCAAGGUUCAUGGCGGCUUGAGGAUGCAAGUCUCGUGGCGGCUGGAGGAGCCAAAGUUCAUGGCUGCUGGAAGAGGGACAAGGCUAUGGAGGAGGCGGCAUGAGUUUUUUCUUUAGGUUUAGGUUUUUUAGGUCUGGUUAAGUGUAAACCGAGUUAGGAAAAUUGUAGUGGUCUGAUUUUAUUUUUUAAUUUGUGGUUUAGUUUUGUAAACCAGAAUUAAUCUGUAAACCAAAUUUAAUUUAUUAAUAAAAUUUAUUUUAUUUUCA